UUCCACGUCUUCAUAGCUCUAGAUAAAAGCC
Molecule: non-coding RNA, 31 nt
Filed under: Rattus norvegicus (Norway rat)
Lineage: Eukaryota; Metazoa; Chordata; Mammalia; Rodentia; Muridae
Source: RNAcentral